UACGGAGGGUGCAAGCGUUGUUCGGAAUUACUGGGCGUAAAGCGCGUGUAGGCGGCCUGCUAAGUCUGAUGUGAAAGCCCGGGGCUCACCCCCGGAAGUGCAUUGGAAACUGGUAGGCUCGAGUCCCGGAGAGGAGGGUGGAAUUCCUGGUGUAGCGGUGAAAUGCGUAGAUAUCAGGAGGAACACCGGUGGCGAAGGCGGCCCUCUGGACGGUGACUGACGCUGAGACGCGAAAGCGUGGGGAGCAAACAGG
RNAcentral lists this ribosomal RNA (253 nucleotides) under uncultured bacterium. RNAcentral's name for it is "partial 16S ribosomal RNA". It matches the Rfam family "Bacterial small subunit ribosomal RNA", at positions 524 to 776 of the family's 1533-position model. The record is from RNAcentral.